This 494-nucleotide ribosomal RNA is filed under the name uncultured bacterium. RNAcentral's name for it is "partial 16S ribosomal RNA". It matches the Rfam family "Bacterial small subunit ribosomal RNA", at positions 28 to 507 of the family's 1533-position model. The record is from RNAcentral.
GACGAACGCUGGCGGCGCGCUUAACACAUGCAAGUCGAACGGAAAGGCCUGCUUUCCCUUGUGGAUUGCGGGUACUCGAGUGGCGAACGGGUGAGUAACACGUGAGUGAUCUGCCCCCAACUUGGGUAUAAGCCUGGGAAACUGGGUCUAAUUCCCGAUAGGACUGCAGGGUGGUGCCUGUGGUGGAAAACGAUUUUCUAGUGGUUGGGGAUGAGCUCGCGGCCUAUCAGCUUGUUGGUGGGGUAAUGGCCUACCAAGGCGGCGACGGGUAGCCGGCCUGAGAGGGUGGACGGCCACAUUGGGACUGAGAUACGGCCCAGACUCCUACGGGAGGCAGCAGUGGGGAAUAUUGCACAAUGGGCGGAAGCCUGAUGCAGCGACGCCGCGUGGGGGAUGACGGCCUUCGGGUUGUAAACUCCUUUCGACCGCAAGGAAGCCACCUGGUUGGAAGGGUGGUGACGGUAGUGGUAGAAGAAGCACCGGCUAACUACGUG